AGUUUCCCUCCACUCCUCUCACCUACACUUCCUACUCCCCGCCUCCUUUCUUCAGGAAAGUUCUUAAUGGACAAGAAAGAGGGUACCAGAAAGGCCAGGUUUCUUAGCUUGUCCUGCAAAGGUUUCAGAUCUUUCUGGCCCUUCCUUGGGUCGCCCUUCGCCUUGCUUCCCGCUCUCACUCACUGAACUUGGGACAGGUGGGUGCUGGACUCCUCUGUGCCCCCGUGUCUUCGCUUUAUAGAAUGGGGGUGAUAACCCUACUUCCAGUCACUGCGGAGAGAAUGAAACAUGUUAAUCCACGUCACAGCACGGUAUCCGGCUUGCAGAAAUCACUCGAUAAAUGGCACUUGAACCUAAUUCUGGCUAGGAGCAUGUUCAGAUUAUGUACUGAAUCAAAAGCUGCCAUCAGGACUUCUCAAAGAAAUAAAUACAAGAUUUUUUUCAUUAUAGAGAGAGCUUAAAAGGAACAGAACAAUUUAUAAUAAAAGCCAUAUACUUGCAAAAUCAUUUUCUAUCUCCCAUUUUGGCCUGUUCCUGUGAGCUGUUGUUGAUUUCCUCUGGGUCAUCUCCUUGCCCUGUAAGGUCACCUACCCCAAUGAAUAGGAAAGGGAAGUGGGCAGUGAAUUGGACUCACUUGAGAAAAUGAGGGCUGCACGGUAGUGAGGCACAGCUAAUUACUCUUCCCAGGGCGCCUGCGACCAAGUGCAUUCAAGAAACUAAAUGA
Molecule: non-coding RNA, 724 nt
Organism: Miniopterus natalensis
Lineage: Eukaryota; Metazoa; Chordata; Mammalia; Chiroptera; Miniopteridae
Source: RefSeq, a predicted model, not a curated record